Molecule: ribosomal RNA, 406 nt
Filed under: uncultured bacterium
Lineage: Bacteria
Description: partial 16S ribosomal RNA
Rfam family: Bacterial small subunit ribosomal RNA
Source: RNAcentral
AUUGAACGCUGGCGGCAGGCCUAACACAUGCAAGUCGAACGAGUGGCGGACGGGUGAGUAAUGUCUGGGAAACUGCCUGAUGGAGGGGGAUAACUACUGGAAACGGUAGCUAAUACCGCAUACCAUCAGAUGUGCCCAGAUGGGAUUAGCUAGUUGGUGGGGUAACGGCUCACCAAGGCGACGAUCCCUAGCUGGUCUGAGGGGAUUGCCAGCCACACCGGAACUGGGGCACGGUGCAGGCCUCUUAGGGGGGCAGCAGGGGGGAAUAUUGCACAAUGGGCGCAAGCCUGAUGCAGCCAUGCCGCGUGUAUGAAGAAGGCCUUCGGGUUGUAAAGUACUUUCAGCGGGGAGGCGUUACCCGCAGAAGAAGCACCGGCUAACUCCGUGCCAGCCGCCGCGGUAAUUC